GCAAAACGCGAAGAACCUUACCAACCCUUGACAUGGAGGGGACCGUUCCAGAGAUGGUUCUUUCACUUCGGUGACCCCUCACACAGGUGCUGCAUGGCUGUCGUCAGCUCGUGUCGUGAGAUGUUCGGUUAAGUCCGGCAACGAGCGCAACCCACACUUUCAGUUGCCAGCAUUCAGUUGGGCACUCUGAAAGAACUGCCGGUGAUAAGCCGGAGGAAGGUGUGGAUGACGUCAAGUCCUCAUGGCCCUUACGGGUUGGGCUACACACGUGCUACAAUGGCAGUGACAAUGGGCUAAUACCCAAAAAGCUGUCUCAGUUCGGAUUGGGGUCUGCAACUCGACCCCAUGAAGUCGGAAUCGCUAGUAAUCGCGUAACAGCAUGACGCGGUGAAUACGUUCCCGGGUCUUGUACACACCG
This 418-nucleotide ribosomal RNA is filed under the name uncultured bacterium. Its description in RNAcentral is "bacterial SSU rRNA". It matches the Rfam family "Bacterial small subunit ribosomal RNA", at positions 954 to 1392 of the family's 1533-position model. The record is from RNAcentral.